GUUCAGAACGCGUCGCACUUGUAAUGCGAAGAUCCCUAGUUCAAUUCUGGGUUUGUACG
RNAcentral lists this transfer RNA (59 nucleotides) under Pseudocercospora musae. RNAcentral's name for it is "Mycosphaerella musicola tRNA". It matches the Rfam family "tRNA", at positions 15 to 71 of the family's 71-position model. Rfam says of the family: Transfer RNA (tRNA) molecules are approximately 80 nucleotides in length. Their secondary structure includes four short double-helical elements and three loops (D, anti-codon, and T loops). Further hydrogen bonds mediate the characteristic L-shaped molecular structure. tRNAs have two regions of fundamental functional importance: the anti-codon, which is responsible for specific mRNA codon recognition, and the 3' end, to which the tRNAs corresponding amino acid is attached (by aminoacyl-tRNA synthetases). tRNAs cope with the degeneracy of the genetic code in two manners: having more than one tRNA (with a specific anti-codon) for a particular amino acid; and 'wobble' base-pairing, i.e. permitting non-standard base-pairing at the 3rd anti-codon position. Lineage: Eukaryota; Fungi; Ascomycota; Dothideomycetes; Mycosphaerellales; Mycosphaerellaceae. The record is from Rfam by way of RNAcentral.